This 502-nucleotide ribosomal RNA is filed under the name uncultured bacterium. Its description in RNAcentral is "bacterial SSU rRNA". It matches the Rfam family "Bacterial small subunit ribosomal RNA", at positions 15 to 518 of the family's 1533-position model. The record is from RNAcentral.
GAUCCUGGCUUAGGACGAACGCUGGCGGCGUGCCUAAUACAUGCAAGUCGAACGAACUGUGGAAAGCUUGCUUUCAGAGUUAGUGGCGAACGGGUGAGUAACACGUAAGUAACCUAGCUAUUAGACGAGGAUAACUACUGGAAACGGUAGCUAAGACUGGAUAUGAUAGAAAUAUUUAAAGGAUGCUAAGGCAUCGCUAAUAGAGGGGCUUGCGGCGCAUUAGCUAGUUGGUAGGGUAAAGCCAACCAAGGCGAUGAUGCGUAGCCGACCUGAGAGGGUGACCGGCCACACUGGGACUGAGACACGGCCCAGACUCCUACGGGAGGCAGCAGUAGGGAAUCUUCGGCAAUGGACGAAAGUCUGACCGAGCAACGCCGCGUGAGUGAAGAAAGUUUUCGGAUUGUAAAGCUCUGUUAUUAGGGAAGAAAGGCUCUAGGAGGAAAUGCUUAGGAUUGACGGUACCUAAUGAGGAAGCCACGGCUAACUACGUGCCAGCCGCUGC